RNAcentral lists this ribosomal RNA (583 nucleotides) under uncultured bacterium. RNAcentral's name for it is "partial 16S ribosomal RNA". It matches the Rfam family "Bacterial small subunit ribosomal RNA", at positions 355 to 935 of the family's 1533-position model. The record is from RNAcentral.
UGGGGAAUUUUGGACAAUGGGCGCAAGCCUGAUCCAGCCAUGCCGCGUGCGGGAAGAAGGCCUUCGGGUUGUAAACCGCUUUUGUCAGGGAAGAAAUCUUCUGAGUUAAUACCUCGGGAGGAUGACGGUACCUGAAGAAUAAGCACCGGCUAACUACGUGCCAGCAGCCGCGGUAAUACGUAGGGUGCAAGCGUUAAUCGGAAUUACUGGGCGUAAAGCGUGCGCAGGCGGUUUUGUAAGACAGAGGUGAAAUCCCCGGGCUCAACCUGGGAACUGCCUUUGUGACUGCAAGGCUUGAGUGCGGCAGAGGGGGGAUGGAAUUCCGCGUGUAGCAGUGAAAUGCGUAGAUAUGCGGAGGAACACCGAUGGCGAAGGCAAUCCCCUGGGCCUGCACUGACGCUCAUGCACGAAAGCGUGGGGAGCAAACAGGAUUAGAUACCCUGGUAGUCCACGCCCUAAACGAUGUCAACUGGUUGUUGGGAAGGUUCCUUCUCAGUAACGUAGCUAACGCGUGAAGUUGACCGCCUGGGGAGUACGGCCGCAAGGUUGAAACUUAAAUGAAUUGACGGGGUCAUAGCUGUUU